This 329-nucleotide unclassified non-coding RNA is filed under the name soil metagenome. RNAcentral describes it as "partial contains 5.8S ribosomal RNA, internal transcribed spacer 2, and large subunit ribosomal RNA". The stretch from base 1 to 120 matches the Rfam family "5.8S ribosomal RNA", at positions 35 to 154 of the family's 154-position model. The record is from RNAcentral.
GAUGAAGAACGUAGUGAAAUGCGAUAAGUAAUGUGAAUUGCAGAAUUCAGUGAAUCAUCGAAUCUUUGAACGCACAUUGCGCCCCCUGGUAUUCCGGGGGGCAUGCCUGUCCGAGCGUCAUUACAACCCUCAAGCUCAGCUUGGUGUUGGGCCCCGCCGCCCCGGCGGGCCCUAAAGUCAGUGGCGGUGCCGUCCGGCUCCGAGCGUAGUAAUUCUUCCCGCUCUGGAGGCCCGGUCGCGUGCCCGCCAGCAACCCCCAAUUUUUUUCAGGUUGACCUCGGAUCAGGUAGGGAUACCCGCUGAACUUAAGCAUAUCAAUAAGCGGAGGA